AUCGACGAGUCCCAAAUAGGACGAAAUGUGCAUCCUGGAU
Molecule: non-coding RNA, 40 nt
Filed under: Schistosoma curassoni
Lineage: Eukaryota; Metazoa; Platyhelminthes; Trematoda; Strigeidida; Schistosomatidae
Source: RNAcentral